This 448-nucleotide ribosomal RNA is filed under the name Streptococcus sp. oral taxon 064. RNAcentral's name for it is "bacterial SSU rRNA". It matches the Rfam family "Bacterial small subunit ribosomal RNA", at positions 39 to 472 of the family's 1533-position model. Lineage: Bacteria; Bacillati; Bacillota; Bacilli; Lactobacillales; Streptococcaceae. The record is from RNAcentral.
GCGGCGUGCCUAAUACAUGCAAGUAGAACGCUGAAGGAGGAGCUUGCUCUUCUGGAUGAGUUGCGAACGGGUGAGUAACGCGUAGGUAACCUGCCUGGUAGCGGGGGAUAACUAUUGGAAACGAUAGCUAAUACCGCAUAAGAGUAGAUGUUGCAUGACAUUUGCUUAAAAGGUGCAAUUGCAUCACUACCAGAUGGACCUGCGUUGUAUUAGCUAGUUGGUGGGGUAACGGCUCACCAAGGCGACGAUACAUAGCCGACCUGAGAGGGUGAUCGGCCACACUGGGACUGAGACACGGCCCAGACUCCUACGGGAGGCAGCAGUAGGGAAUCUUCGGCAAUGGACGGAAGUCUGACCGAGCAACGCCGCGUGAGUGAAGAAGGUUUUCGGAUCGUAAAGCUCUGUUGUAAGAGAAGAACGAGUGUGAGAGUGGAAAGUUCACACUGGA